UUAUUUUUAUAAAAAUAAUAUUUAUCUUGUAAAACUCAUAAAUUACAAAACCUGGUCUCAACAAGGAUAGAAAUUGUUUUAACCUUUGCUUGGUUGAAAUCUUUCAAUUCUUUAAGAGCCAAAUCUCUUAGCUUAUUCACCUCUUUCACUGGCCACUCCUUCCUUUCAUCAACCUUGCUCAAUAUUCCUUGUACCAUUCCUACAUACAAGCCAUACCUUCUCAAUUUUUCUAUCUCGUCUUCGCUUCCACCUCCUAAUAUUGCGCCACACGCACCCGCACACGCGUGUAAGGUACCUUCUUUUUUUCUACAUACAUUUUGAAGCCAUCCCACGUGGAAUAUUUCCUCCCCCUCCGAUUCCUCGUAUUGUGAUUCAUUAUAUUGCCCUUCGAUCACUCCUUGUGAACCCAUGGCACGUGAGAUCUCAAUGAUAGCACGCAAAACCCGAUUCGAAUUAUUUUCGGCAGCGUCGUCGUCCCGUGCCAGUAACUCAAACCCGUAUGGUAUUAUUCCAUCUGCUAUGAGAAGCUCGAUGUUAGGGCCAUAUAAAGUGGGCCUGGUUCUGGGCGUCGGCCUGGGCCUGUCUGUCAAAGGCAGGUUCUCAUGAGUGGAAGCAGAAGCA
This 621-nucleotide unclassified non-coding RNA is filed under the name Hevea brasiliensis (rubber tree). Lineage: Eukaryota; Viridiplantae; Streptophyta; Magnoliopsida; Malpighiales; Euphorbiaceae. The record is from RNAcentral.